UACGUAGGGGGCUAGCGUUGUCCGGAAUUACUGGGCGUAAAGAGCUCGUAGGUGGUUUGUCGCGUUGUUCGUGAAAACUCACAGCUCAACUGUGGGCGUGCGGGCGAUACGGGCAGACUUGAGUACUGCAGGGGAGACUGGAAUUCCUGGUGUAGCGGUGGAAUGCGCAGAUAUCAGGAGGAACACCGGUGGCGAAGGCGGGUCUCUGGGCAGUAACUGACGCUGAGGAGCGAAAGCGUGGGGAGCGAACAGG
Molecule: ribosomal RNA, 253 nt
Filed under: uncultured bacterium
Lineage: Bacteria
Description: partial 16S ribosomal RNA
Rfam family: Bacterial small subunit ribosomal RNA
Source: RNAcentral